GAUGAACGCUGGCGGCGUGCCUAAUACAUGCAAGUCGAGCGAAUGGAUUAAGAGCUUGCUCUUAUGAAGUUAGCGGCGGACGGGUGAGUAACACGUGGGUAACCUGCCCAUAAGAUUGGGAUAACUCCGGGAAACCGGGGCUAAUACCGGAUAACAUUUUGAACCGCAUGGUUCGAAAUUGAAAGGCGGCUUCGGCUGUCACUUAUGGAUGGACCCGCGUCGCAUUAGCUAGUUGGUGAGGUAACGGCUCACCAAGGCAACGAUGCGUAGCCGACCUGGGGGGGUGAUCGACCGCACUGGGACUGAGACACGGCCAAGAUUCCUACGGGAGGCAGCAGUAGGGAAUCGUCCGCAAUAGACGAAAGUCUGACGGAGCAACGCCGCGUGAGUGAUGAAGGCUUUCGGGUCGUAAAACUCUGUUGUUAGGGAAGAACAAGUGCUAGUUGAAUAAGCUGGCACCUUGACGGUACCUAACCAGAAAGCCACGGCUAACUACGUGCCAGCCGCCGCCGUAA
Molecule: ribosomal RNA, 515 nt
Filed under: uncultured bacterium
Lineage: Bacteria
Description: partial 16S ribosomal RNA
Rfam family: Bacterial small subunit ribosomal RNA
Source: RNAcentral